AUGGGGGAAGGGANNNNNNNNNNAAAGGGGGGGAAGAGGGGAAAGGAGGAAAAAGGGUGGAAAAGAGGAAAAAGGUGGAAAAGGGGGGGAAAGAUGGAAAAGGGGGGAAGUGGGGAGAAAGGGGGCAAACUUGGGAAAAGGGGGAAAAAGGCGGAAAAGGGGGAAAAAGGAAGGAAAUGGGGGAAAAGGGGAAAAAGGGAGAAAUGGGGAAAAGGGAGAAAAUGUGGGAAAAGGGGGAAAGGGGAAAAGGGGUGGGGAAAGCGGGAAAGGGGGGAAAAGGGGAAGAGAGUGAAAAUAUGGGAAAGGGGGAAAAAGGUGGAAAAGGGGAAAAGGACAGGAAAGGAGGGAAAAGGAAAAAAAGGGGGGGAAGGGGAUAAAGGGAGAAGUGGGGAGAAAGGAGAAAAUGGGGAAAAGGGGGAAAAGGGGGGGAAAGCGGGAGAAAGUGGAAGAGGUGGAAAAUGUGGUAAAAGGGGGAAUAAAGGGAGAAAAGGGGAGAAAAAGAGGGAAAGAAGGAAAAAGGGGGAAAGGGAAAAAAGAAAAGAGGGGAAAAGGGGAACGAAGGGAGAAAAGGGAAAAAGGGAGAAAAUGGGGAGAAAGGUGGAAGGGGGGAAACGUGGGAAAAGGAAAAAAAGUGGAAAAGGGGAAGAAGAGGGAAAGGAAGGAAAAGGGGGGAAAGGGAAAAAAAAGGAAAAAUGGAGGAAAAUGGGAAAAAAAGGAGAAGUGGGGAAAAAGGGGGAAAGGGGAAAAAUGAAGAAGAUGCAUAAAAAGGGGAAAAGGGGGGAAAAGGGAGGAAAAAGGGGAAAGGGAAAAAGAGGAGAAAGGGGGGUAAGGAGGAAAAGGGGCAAAAAUAGGGGAAAAGGGAGCCCUGCCCUCACCUCCUGCUGCUCAGGGAUGCGCCUGAGGCUUGGGCACGCACCUGAAAGCUGCCCUUGUGCCCUGCCAUGGGGGCUAAAAAGAAAAAAAAAUAAAAUUUUUGGUUUAACAAUACAAAAGCUUGGGAGGUUGGCGUAG
This 1011-nucleotide long non-coding RNA is filed under the name Anas zonorhyncha (Eastern spot-billed duck). RNAcentral describes it as "lncRNA (ENSAZOG00000008258.1)". The record is from RNAcentral. Lineage: Eukaryota; Metazoa; Chordata; Aves; Anseriformes; Anatidae.